UACAGAGGUCCCAAGCGUUGUUCGGAUUCACUGGGCGUAAAGGGUGCGUAGGCGGUUUGGUAAGUCUCGUGUGAAAUCUCCGGGCUCAACUCGGAGCCUGCACGAGAAACUGCCGGGCUUGAGUGUGGGAGAGGUGAGUGGAAUUCCUGGUGUAGCGGUGAAAUGCGUAGAUAUCAGGAGGAACACCUGUGGCGAAAGCGGCUCACUGGACCAUAACUGACGCUGAUGCACGAAAGCUAGGGGAGCAAACAGG
Molecule: ribosomal RNA, 253 nt
Filed under: uncultured bacterium
Lineage: Bacteria
Description: partial 16S ribosomal RNA
Rfam family: Bacterial small subunit ribosomal RNA
Source: RNAcentral